GACUCUUGCUAACUCUCUGAAUAUGAAGUAGGCUAUAUGCAAAUGUAUUUGUUCAUAAUGAGCUUUGAGCAUCCCUCCUCCUCUCUGAGGAUGAAAUCAGUAUACAGACUUCUUAAGGCACAUCGGUAAUCUUCCUGAAGCGAACAGGAGAUGAUUAAGCUCACUCUGCAUCAUCGUGAGCCUGUUGAAAGACAUUUUCCUCAUGAAGUUCUGCUUCACUCUAAAAUAACGCAGCAAUUGAAUUUGGAACCAUUUCAGGAUGAAGUUCAAAGAAGAUAUCAAUCUUUUUGGGUGCUAUUUACCAUGUAAUAAUAAGGAAAUGGCGAUGAUUAUUACCUUUGCCAAUGUUGUUUAUUUUUUUAUUUGGAUGGAAUUGUAUCUCUUUUGGGUGAAGUGAUUCACUCUGUAUGCUGUGCUGACUCUCAAAUCAAGGGGAAGGAUUCCAGAGCAAUUAAUAAUUCAUGAACUUUAAAGGGCUUUCUAGAGAUGCUCCUUUAAGACAACACUGCAGACAUACUCUAUCUUUAAUCAGGUCUACUUUUAGGAGCUCAGGGAAUUUUGAAUUCUUACAAAACCUCUACAAUAGACAAAUUGAGAAAUGAAGCAUAUGGAGAUUCAUUCAUUGCAGACAAAGCUGUUUCUGUUGUUACUUAAAUCCAAGUAAGAAGGGAUUGACAAGAUAAAGUGGAAGACAAAGUUGGACCACCUUUUAGAAACCUUAAAUUCGCUGCCAACAACAAUACUGCAUCUAAAUGACUCGCCCUGCAGGCGUUUCAGAUUCCAACCUCUAUAAUAAUAUUUACUUUCAAUUUUUGUUGUUGAACUAGAUUGUCAAAGAAUUCAGACAUUUUGUUACAAGGCAGCCAAUGGAUAAUUGUACAAGGAGUAAAUUGAGACAGAAAGGUUUAAAUAUAUUUAUUUUCUUAUUAAUGUACAGACUCAUGAACACCUCUCUCACCUGAGUUAUACAGAACAAAUAACUUUAAACUAGUGAUAAUAUUUUAACUAAAGAAAGUAACUGCUUUGCUGGUCAUUCUCACCUGCUACUUCAUUUUCUCAAAAGAAAACAAAAAUCAUCUAUUUGUUUAAAGUUUACCACUCCCAGUUAAACAGUAUGUGUCAGGAAAACAUGAGAGAUACAUGAGAUGCAUAAUAGCCCACGAGGGACGGUGUAGCAAGUGACACCUGAGAGAGAGAGAAAAGAGAACAGAUCUUCAUAAUUUGAUCUUGAUUAUUUUAGCAUUCUGGAAACUAUGGAAAGAGUUUGGCAUAACAAUAAAAAAUUCACAUUUUUCAAGUGUCUAAAA
Non-coding RNA from Rattus norvegicus (Norway rat), 1307 nucleotides. Lineage: Eukaryota; Metazoa; Chordata; Mammalia; Rodentia; Muridae. The record is from RefSeq and is a predicted model, not a curated record.